GGAUGUGAGGGUGAUCUGGCUGCGACAUCUGUCACCCCAUUGAUCGCCAGGGUUGAUUCGGCUGAUCUGGCUGGCUAGGCGGGGGGGC
This 88-nucleotide small nuclear RNA is filed under the name Antrostomus carolinensis (chuck-will's-widow). RNAcentral's name for it is "Caprimulgus carolinensis (chuck-will's-widow) 7SK RNA". It matches the Rfam family "7SK RNA", at positions 1 to 87 of the family's 331-position model. Rfam says of the family: 7SK was discovered as an abundant small nuclear RNA in the mid-70s but a possible function has only recently been suggested. Two independent studies have found that 7SK RNA binds the CDK9/cyclin T complex (known as elongation factor P-TEFb). P-TEFb activates transcription by phosphorylating the C-terminal domain of RNA polymerase II. The record is from Rfam by way of RNAcentral. Lineage: Eukaryota; Metazoa; Chordata; Aves; Caprimulgiformes; Caprimulgidae.